This 600-nucleotide ribosomal RNA is filed under the name uncultured bacterium. Its description in RNAcentral is "bacterial SSU rRNA". It matches the Rfam family "Bacterial small subunit ribosomal RNA", at positions 727 to 1330 of the family's 1533-position model. The record is from RNAcentral.
CACGAAGGGUUGAUUGACGCUGAGGCACGAAAGCGUGGGGAUCAAACAGGAUUAGAUACCCUGGUAGUCCACGCAGUAAACGAUGAUGGCUAACCGCUGGGUAAUACUAUUCAGUGGCCAAGCGAAAGCGAUAAGCCAUCCACCUGGGGAGUACGACCGCAAGGUUGAAACUCAAAGGAAUUGACGGGGGCCCGCACAAGCGGAGGAACAUGUGGUUUAAUUCGAUGAUACGCGAGGAACCUUACCCGGGCUCGAACGGCUGGCGAAGAGAUCCAGAGAUGGUGACGUCCUUCGGGACGCCAGUCGAGGUGCUGCAUGGUUGUCGUCAGCUCGUGCCGUGAGGUGUCGGCUCAAGUGCCAUAACGAGCGCAACCCUUGCCGUCAGUUACCAUCAAGUAGAGUUGGGGACUCUGGCGGGACUGCCACCGCAAGGUGUGAGGAAGGGGGGGAUGACGUCAAAUCAGCACGGCCCUUACGUCCGGGGCGACACACGUGUUACAAUGGCGGCCACAGAGGGGCACUACCUGGUGACAGGAUGGGAAUCUCGAAAAGCCGUCUCAGUCCGGAUCGGAGUCUGCAACCCGACUCCGUGAAGCUGGA